GAAAGCUGACCCAUUUCAAAGUUCAGUUUAAUUAUGUGGCACUUAGCACAAGUGACUCCAUUCUCCUUGGGUCUGAUGCCGGGGGGGCCUCAGGCAGGUGGUUAAUCCAAACUAAUGACCUCCCAUAAAAUUUGUUGAACACAGGUGUUUUUACAAGAGGCACACAAAAGAGAGACACAGAGAGAAGAUGAGAAGACUGAGGCAGACAUUGGAAUGACGCAACCAGGAGCCAAGGAAUGCCUGGAUCCAUGGGAAGCAGAAGAGGCUUUCUCACCAUGUGAUGCAUUCUGCUAUGUUAUGAUACAGCAAGAAGGGCCUCACAAGAUGUGACCUCUUGUUCUUGGACUUCUCAGCCUCCAGAAUCAUGAGAAAAAAAGGCUCAGCACUGUGAAGACUGAUUGCCACCUCCCCCUUCCCCAGCAAUCUCGUGGAGAUCUGGUCAGAGAAGCUGUUCCAUCUCCCACAAACCUCGUGGCUCAGAAGCAGAGGUGGAGGCUGCAGACCUCAUGUCAGGACUGGGUCGACUAAAAUAAAAACAGUCCCCCUAGUCUGGAUGCCCUGUGUACCUUGCAACUGAGAAAAUGUGAAUGAAACCAUGAAAUACUAUGCAGCCAUAAAAAGGAAUGAAAUUAUGUCUUUUGUAGGAACAUGAAUGGAGCUAGAAGCCAUUAUUCUCAGCAAACUAACACAGGAACAGAAAACCAAACACCACAUGUUCUCACUUAUAAGUGGGAGCUGAAGAAUGAGAACCCAUGGACACAGGGAGGGGAAAAACACACAGGGGCCUAUCAGGGGGUGUGGUGGGGGGAAGGAGAGCAUUGGAAAAAUAGCUAAUGCAUGCUUGGCUUAAGUUCUACGUGAUAGGUUGAUAGGUGCAGCAAACCACCAUGGCACACGUUUACCUAUGUAACAAACUUGCACAUCCUGCACAUGUACCCCAGAACUUAAAAAUAAAAA
Molecule: long non-coding RNA, 957 nt
Filed under: Homo sapiens (human)
Lineage: Eukaryota; Metazoa; Chordata; Mammalia; Primates; Hominidae
Description: HSALNT0378482
Source: RNAcentral